CACGUAGGGCGCAAGCGUUGUCCGGAAUUAUUGGGCGUAAAGAGCUCGUAGGCGGCCUGUCGCGUCGGAUGUGAAAGCCCGGGGCUUAACCCCGGGUCUGCAUUCGAUACGGGCAGGCUAGAGUGUGGUAGGGGAGAUCGGAAUUCCUGGUGUAGCGGUGAAAUGCGCAGAUAUCAGGAGGAACACCGGUGGCGAAGGCGGAUCUCUGGGCCAUUACUGACGCUGAGGAGCGAAAGCGUGGGGAGCGAACAGG
RNAcentral lists this ribosomal RNA (253 nucleotides) under uncultured bacterium. RNAcentral's name for it is "partial 16S ribosomal RNA". It matches the Rfam family "Bacterial small subunit ribosomal RNA", at positions 524 to 776 of the family's 1533-position model. The record is from RNAcentral.